Molecule: ribosomal RNA, 253 nt
Filed under: uncultured bacterium
Lineage: Bacteria
Description: partial 16S ribosomal RNA
Rfam family: Bacterial small subunit ribosomal RNA
Source: RNAcentral
GACGAAGGUGGCGAGCGUUAUUCGGAAUUAUUGGGCGUAAAGGGCGCGUAGGCGGCCUGAUAAGUCAAAGGUGAAAUCCCUCGGCUCAACUGAGGAAUUGCCUUUGAAACUGUCAGGCUUGAGGCCGGGAGGGGGUGGCGGAAUUCCCAGUGUAGCGGUGAAAUGCGUAGAUAUUGCUCGGAAGGCCAACGGCGAAGGCAGGUUACUGGUGCGCAACUGACACUGAGGCACGAAAGCGUGGGGAGCAAACAGG